Molecule: microRNA, 18 nt
Filed under: Mus musculus (house mouse)
Lineage: Eukaryota; Metazoa; Chordata; Mammalia; Rodentia; Muridae
Description: mmu-miR-7057-5p
Source: miRBase by way of RNAcentral
CAGGAGAGGACUCAAGUU